RNAcentral lists this long non-coding RNA (241 nucleotides) under Elaeis guineensis (African oil palm). RNAcentral's name for it is "long non-coding RNA (EGUI_LNC081831)". Lineage: Eukaryota; Viridiplantae; Streptophyta; Magnoliopsida; Arecales; Arecaceae. The record is from RNAcentral.
CACCAGGACUUCGUGUGAAUACCCGUAGAGAUAGGAUGCGUGUGCGGUUGUCAAGCAUCUUGAAGAACCAUCUUUAAUGGAUUUUAGAUGCGGUGAUUUGCUAUCCGCACUCCAGUAUGAAGUUUUAUAUUCAAUCAAUAUUUAGAUAUGAUCUAAAUAUAGAUUAGAUAUAUCAUGUACUUGUUGAAUUUUAGAUUUCAGAUGUACAUACAUACAUAUUAGUUCAUGUCAUAGAUCCUGU